GACGAACGCUGGCGGCGUGCUUAACACAUGCAAGUCGAACGGAAAGGCCUGCUUUCCCUUGUGGAUUGCGGGUACUCGAGUGGCGAACGGGUGAGUAACACGUGAGUGAUCUGCCCCCAACUUGGGUAUAAGCCUGGGAAACUGGGUCUAAUUCCCGAUAGGACUGCAGGGUGGUGCCUGUGGUGGAAAACGAUUUUCUAGUGGUUGGGGAUGAGCUCGCGGCCUAUCAGCUUGUUGGUGGGGUAAUGGCCUACCAAGGCGGCGACGGGUAGCCGGCCUGGGAGGGUGGACGGCCACAUUGGGACUGAGCUACGGCCCAGACUCCUACGGGAGGCAGCAGUGGGGAAUAUUGCACCAUGGGCGGAAGCCUGAUGCAGCGACGCCGCGUGGGGGAUGACGGCCUUCGGGUUGUAAACUCCUUUCGACCGCGAGGAAGCCACCUGGUUGGAAGGGUGGUGACGGUAGUGGUAGAAGAAGCACCGGCUAACUACGUG
RNAcentral lists this ribosomal RNA (494 nucleotides) under uncultured bacterium. RNAcentral's name for it is "partial 16S ribosomal RNA". It matches the Rfam family "Bacterial small subunit ribosomal RNA", at positions 28 to 507 of the family's 1533-position model. The record is from RNAcentral.